This is a non-coding RNA of Potamilus streckersoni, 77 nucleotides long. The record is from the annotation of a GenBank genome assembly. NCBI's taxonomy places the organism in Eukaryota, Metazoa, Mollusca, Bivalvia, Unionida, Unionidae.
GCUACGAUGGCCUAGUGGUUAGAGCGUCCGCCUCGAAAGCGGAGGUCGUGGGUUCAAUCCCCGGUCGAGUUAUACCA